CAAUUAUCCCGGUCAAGUAUACCUGGAUUUAUUAUUCUUCCCAAAAGUCCUCUAUGUGCUUCCCAAUUUCAAUCCCUUUUCUUAUAACAAGGGCUUUCUUGCAUGUUUACAGCUUUGUCUUCCUAGAAGUGCGUUCUCAGGAAGACACACCUGUGUGCAUGCAAGCAUCCGUGUGUAUUCAAAAGCAUCAGAAAGCUAAGAUUUUUUUUAAAGUGAGACUUUUACAAAUCUGA
This is a long non-coding RNA of Fukomys damarensis (Damara mole-rat), 233 nucleotides long. The record is from Ensembl. NCBI's taxonomy places the organism in Eukaryota, Metazoa, Chordata, Mammalia, Rodentia, Bathyergidae.